This 491-nucleotide ribosomal RNA is filed under the name uncultured bacterium. RNAcentral describes it as "partial 16S ribosomal RNA". It matches the Rfam family "Bacterial small subunit ribosomal RNA", at positions 27 to 507 of the family's 1533-position model. The record is from RNAcentral.
GAUUGAACGCUGGCGGCAGGCCUAACACAUGCAAGUCGAACGGUAACAGGAAGCAGCUUGCUGCUUUGCUGACGAGUGGCGGACGGGUGAGUAAUGUCUGGGAAACUGCCCGAUGGAGGGGGAUAACUACUGGAAACGGUAGCUAAUACCGCAUAACGUCGCAAGACCAAAGAGGGGGACCUUAGGGCCUCUUGCCAUCGGAUGUGCCCAGAUGGGAUUAGCUAGUAGGUGGGGUAACGGCUCACCUAGGCGACGAUCCCUAGCUGGUCUGAGAGGAUGACCAGCCACACUGGAACUGAGACACGGUCCAGACUCCUACGGGAGGCAGCAGUGGGGAAUAUUGCACAAUGGGCGCAAGCCUGAUGCAGCCAUGCCGCGUGUAUGAAGAAGGCCUUCGGGUUGUAAAGUACUUUCAGCGGGGAGGAAGGGAGUAAAGUUAAUACCUUUGCUCAUUGACGUUACCCGCAGAAGAAGCACCGGCUAACUCCGUG